RNAcentral lists this ribosomal RNA (445 nucleotides) under uncultured bacterium. RNAcentral describes it as "bacterial SSU rRNA". It matches the Rfam family "Bacterial small subunit ribosomal RNA", at positions 354 to 796 of the family's 1533-position model. The record is from RNAcentral.
GUGAGGAAUAUUGCGCAAUGGAGGCAACUCUGACGCAGCCAUGCCGCGUGCAGGAAGAAGGCGCUACGCGUUGUAAACUGCUUUUAACCGGGAAGAAACCCCAGGACGUGUCCUGGGUUGACGGUACCGGAGGAAUAAGCACCGGCUAACUUCGUGCCAGCAGCCGCGGUAAUACGAAGGGUGCAAGCGUUAUCCGGAUUCAUUGGGUUUAAAGGGUGCGUAGGCGGAGCGUUAAGUCAGUGGUGAAAUCCUGCAGCUUAACUGUAGACUUGCCAUUGAUACUGGCGCUCUUGAGUGCGCUUGAAGUGGGCGGAAUGUGCCGUGUAGCGGUGAAAUGCUUAGAUAUGGCACAGAACACCAAUUGCGAAGGCAGCUCACUAAGGCGAUACUGACGCUGAGGCACGAAAGCGUGGGGAGCAAACAGGAUUAGAAACCCCAGUAGUCC